This 233-nucleotide ribosomal RNA is filed under the name uncultured bacterium. RNAcentral describes it as "partial 16S ribosomal RNA". It matches the Rfam family "Bacterial small subunit ribosomal RNA", at positions 1261 to 1500 of the family's 1533-position model. The record is from RNAcentral.
GGCGGAGCUAAUCCCUUAAAGACCAUUCUCAGUUCGGAUUGUUAGGCUGAAACUCGCCUACAUGAAGCUGGAGUUACUAGUAAUCGCAGAUCAGAAUGCUGCGGUGAAUACGUUCCCGGGCCUUGUACACACCGCCCGUCAAGCCAUGGAAGCCGGGGGUGCCUGAAGUGCGCUGCCGCAAGGAGCGCCCUAGGGUAAAACCGGUGACUGGGGCUAAGUCGUAACAAGGUAAC